This 563-nucleotide small RNA is filed under the name Pongo abelii (Sumatran orangutan). Its description in RNAcentral is "retained intron". The record is from RNAcentral. Lineage: Eukaryota; Metazoa; Chordata; Mammalia; Primates; Hominidae.
UCUGAGAAAACUGUGCGUCUUCAAGAAAAUUGAGAGGCAUUCCAUUCACUGGCCCUGCCGACUGACCAUUGGCUCCAAUUUGUCUAUAAGGAUUGCAGCCUAUAAAUCGAUUCUACAGGAGAGAGUUAAAAAGACUUGGACAGUUGUGGAUGCAAAAACCCUAAAAAAAGAAGAUAUACAAAAAGAAACAGUUUAUUGCUUAAAUGAUGAUGAUGAAACUGAAGUUUUAAAAGAGGAUAUUAUUCAAGGUAUGUCAGUAAGAGUUUUCACUGUUGCCUAAAAGACAUUUUCUUCAACAUGAUACGAUGCAGGCUGCAGUUUGUAUUAUUAUUUGUUUAAAGUUAUUUCUUUGAGUUAUAGAGAUAUAACAGUUUGAAAGGAUAAUGAGACCCUAGGUCCUUUAGCUCAUUUGUUGGGUCUUAGGCAGGUUGGUUCUCAGGAGUACACUUGGGUGUCCAUCUCUGUGAGUUUUAAAUGUCUUAAGUGAUGGUACUCAAUACUUGGCUUUAUUUUAAAGUUUGAAACUCACUAGCUAGGAGAAUGUUUAAUAUGGUUGAACUAAG